This 723-nucleotide long non-coding RNA is filed under the name Homo sapiens (human). RNAcentral's name for it is "HSALNT0216807". Lineage: Eukaryota; Metazoa; Chordata; Mammalia; Primates; Hominidae. The record is from RNAcentral.
CAGCGCUGCAUUGAGCUGCCCUGGCCCCCUCUGCCCUCCCCAUAAGCAAUGCUGGGACCUGGCCUUCCUGUGGCAGCCCCUCCCCUGCUGGGCUACGUGGUUCAGGGACAGGACGCCCUGGCCCCUUGGCCCUACAGCUCAGUCACAGGUCAGUGGGCCGUGCUGGUGCUCUCUGUUCAGACCUCCAGGGCCUGAGCUCCUGAGAUGCCGGGUGCUGACCAGGCCUGUCAGGGAUCUUCCCAGCCACUGGGCCAGGAUGCCAGGGCGUGCUGGAGCCUGCCUGUCUAAUGCCUGGCUCAACCAAGCUGCUUCAGGUACUGGGGAGCAAUGGUGUGUGUGCUUCAGAGCAGAGGAGGGGGCAAGUCAGAUGUGUGUUUGAGAUGCUCUCUUGGCAGCCAGGAUGGAGACAAGAAAAGGGUGAAUUUGAGAGUUGAGGAUUUAUCAAACUUCCAGCAGUUAAGUCCCUGGGAAACAGCACCAAAAGAGAGAUAAUAAAGGAACCAAAAGAAGAAACCACACAGGAGCAGAUGGAGGCACCAACUGCAUAAAGAAUGGUGACUGCACACAGGCAAGAUGCGCACAGCAGGUGGGAAACUUCUGUAACAAGUAUGUCCACAGGCAGAUCACCUUUACCUGUGAGGAGCUUGUGUGCACGAGGGCAACCUCGCAGCAGCGACGCCCACCACAGAAUGCUGAUGGCUCAAUCCCAGCAGAAGUUUAUUU